Molecule: ribosomal RNA, 497 nt
Filed under: uncultured bacterium
Lineage: Bacteria
Description: partial 16S ribosomal RNA
Rfam family: Bacterial small subunit ribosomal RNA
Source: RNAcentral
GAUGAACGCUGGCGGCGUGCCUAAUACAUGCAAGUCGAGCGAACAGACGAGGAGCUUGCUCCUCUGACGUUAGCGGCGGGCGGGUGAGUAACACGUGGAUAACCUACCUAUAAGACUGGGAUAACUUCGGGAAACCGGAGCUAAUACCGGAUAAUAUAUUGAACCGCAUGGUUCAAUAGUGAAAGACGGUUUUGCUGUCACUUAUAGAUGGAUCCGCGCCGCAUUAGCUAGUUGGUAAGGUAACGGCUUACCAAGGCAACGAGGCGUAGCCGACCUGAGAGGGUGAACGGCCACACUGGAACUGAGACACGGUCCAGACUCCUACGGGAGGCAGCAGUAGGGAAUCUUCCGCAAUGGGCGAAAGCCUGACGGAGCAACGCCGCGUGAGUGAUGAAGGUCUUCGGAUCGUAAAACUCUGUUAUUAGGGAAGAACAAAUGUGUAAGUAACUAUGCACGUCUUGACGGUACCUAAUCAGAAAGCCACGGCUAACUACGUG